RNAcentral lists this ribosomal RNA (773 nucleotides) under uncultured Streptococcus sp. Its description in RNAcentral is "bacterial SSU rRNA". It matches the Rfam family "Bacterial small subunit ribosomal RNA", at positions 28 to 776 of the family's 1533-position model. Lineage: Bacteria; Bacillati; Bacillota; Bacilli; Lactobacillales; Streptococcaceae. The record is from RNAcentral.
GACGAACGCUGGCGGCGUGCCUAAUACAUGCAAGUAGAACGCACAAUAUAUACCGUAGCUUGCUACACCAUAGACUGUGAGUUGCGAACGGGUGAGUAACGCGUAGGUAACCUGCCUGGUAGCGGGGGAUAACUAUUGGAAACGAUAGCUAAUACCGCAUAAUAUUAAUUAUUGCAUAAUAAUUGAUUGAAAGAUGCAACUGCAUCACUACCAGAUGGACCUGCGUUGUAUUAGCUAGUAGGUGAGGUAACGGCUCACCUAGGCGACGAUACAUAGCCGACCUGAGAGGGUGAUCGGCCACACUGGGACUGAGACACGGCCCAGACUCCUACGGGAGGCAGCAGUAGGGAAUCUUCGGCAAUGGACGAAAGUCUGACCGAGCAACGCCGCGUGAGUGAAGAAGGUUUUCGGAUCGUAAAGCUCUGUUGUAAGAGAAGAACGGGUGUGAGAGUGGAAAGUUCACACUGUGACGGUAUCUUACCAGAAAGGGACGGCUAACUACGUGCCAGCAGCCGCGGUAAUACGUAGGUCCCGAGCGUUGUCCGGAUUUAUUGGGCGUAAAGCGAGCGCAGGCGGUUAGAUAAGUCUGAAGUUAAAGGCUGUGGCUUAACCAUAGUACGCUUUGGAAACUGUUUAACUUGAGUGCAGAAGGGGAGAGUGGAAUUCCAUGUGUAGCGGUGAAAUGCGUAGAUAUAUGGAGGAACACCGGUGGCGAAAGCGGCUCUCUGGUCUGUAACUGACGCUGAGGCUCGAAAGCGUGGGGAGCGAACAGG